This is a non-coding RNA of Oryctolagus cuniculus (rabbit), 1926 nucleotides long. The record is from RefSeq and is a predicted model, not a curated record. NCBI's taxonomy places the organism in Eukaryota, Metazoa, Chordata, Mammalia, Lagomorpha, Leporidae.
GCUUAUUUCCUGUGACUCCUGUUCUUCCUUAGGUGUUGACGUGUGCUUCACAGGCACGGAGGUGGUCAGCAUGAACGUCUGUGUGGGCCUGAGAGAGUGUAGAGUCUGCUGCUGUGGGGUGGAGCAUCCUCUCCGUGCCCAGUAGAUGCACAGGUGAUUGAUGGCAUGGGAACCCCAGAAGACAGUGUCAUCUCUGCACUUCAUCUUUCUGGAGACGUGCUGUCAGGCACUUCUAUGACCUCCGUGUUCCAGGUCAGUGUCAGUGUCGAUGCCUAGAGGAAAACCGCAUUGAGGGCCAGAAGCCGAUUCCCCUGAGGGACCGGGUGAUCACCUGCCUGCCCCUCCUCCAUUGGGCACCUCUGACAGCUUGGCUGCCAGAAGUGGUCGUGUGUGAGUUUCCGAGUCCUGCUUCCAGGGCGUGUCCCUCAUGGGGUGGAUUCCUCCCCAGGGAAUGUGUGUGCAACCUCUGUGUUUGAGGUCGUUUUCACGAACGCCUUUGCACAUAUGCACCACGUGUGGUGGUUCUUCCAGCAGCCGGCCGCUUCCCAUUGGUGCUCCAUGGAAGCCACCGGGCCCAGCUGUUCUCAGGUCCAUGGUCGGCUGCUACCUCUGCCUGAGCCUCGGGCUCUGGGCUGAAGCAGCGUGCGAAGUGGAAAGUCUCGUGGACUUGUUUCUCUGAUCCAGCAUAGAGACCUUUUAAGGUCCUACAAAGGAACUGUAAAGCUGUGUAUUCCUGCGUGGAUUCCUGCGGACCUCCUUCUAAGGGUACAGUUUUAAACCUAGCAGUGGGGUCCCAAAUCCCCUUGGGCUAGAUGGCAAAAGUGACAAAGUGAUCCUGUCAGUAGGAUUAAGUAUUUACUGCUAUUAAUGAAUAGGAUUAAAGAGGAGUAAAUGCUCCAACGUGGGAAGGAGUCUGUCCCACAGACUCCUAGAGUGGCAGGUGCUGGAAGUAGCGCUCAGUGACCCCCUAGUCAGCCCUCGAGGCAUCCUGGUCUGGCUGAAAAGGCCAGGAGAGCAGUUCAGGCAUGGAAACCCGGGACACUCGCGCAGAAAGCAUUCCUACAUGCGGGACCUCCCUGGGCGAGACCCCAGUGGAAAGAAGUGGUCAUCAAAGAAGGCUGUACUUUUCUCUGAAGGGAGGAGAGAAGUUCCACUCUGCUUGUGGCCUUGUCUGAAUGUUGACAGAGUUUGAGGACUCAAAAGGCUUCCAUAGCCUAGGAAGCUCAUGUAGGAGCCUGGGUGCUUGCUGAUUCCUGCAUUAGAGUGUUAAUUGUUAUAUCAACAGCAGGGGUCACUGUGUGCUAACUUCCCCUGCAGGACCUCUGUCUUCAGAGAGCUACAGCAUUAGCAUUAAUGGUAAAACUCGUUCCCAAAGAUUUCCCUUGUGUAGUGUGUUACACUCUUAGGUGUCAUGGGUUCUAUUUAUGUCUAAGUGCUAAAUGCCAUUGCCUGUAUUCUUAGGCAUUCCUUAAAGUUUAUUAAGUGUCUCCAAUGUGAACUCUUAGACCCAUGUCUCUCUCUCAUAGUCCUGUCUUGUAUGUAUAACAUAGGGUGGAAUACAGAGUACUGAGUGGUUAAAGGCCUCAGGGAUACGGAGAAGACGGCCGUUUCAAUGCAUCUUGCUGUGUUGCUAAACCUUUGCAUAUGGGACAGUUUCUUCUGUAUCCCACUCAACUCAAAAUCUGGGCUAGUGAGGAUCCAGAACUUCAAACAAAGCUCAGGGAUCUAAACUGGAGGUAGAUUCCCCAGCAUGUGUUCUAACUGCACAAAGCUGUGCUCUCUCAGUCAAAGAGGGGAAGCUAUGUUACAUAUGUUUGACCUUCGCAGACUCACAAAACAGCUGAGAAUAUUUCUGGGAAUGGCAAGAUUCUGUAGAGUACGGAUCCCGUGAUGUGGACUCCACGCUUCUGUAGAUGGCUUUAAAAG